GAAGUUCGAAAGUCCACAGAAGACUUUGAUAACCCAAAAAUCUGACAUGUAAGGUUGAGGAGAAUCCAGGGAGGAUCUAUCUUCCGGGCUAAAAUGUCCAUGAUAAUCUGGCACGGGUGCUGUUUUGUAAAGAGUGUCUAUUGACUUAGCUUUGCCGUUUUAGUGGUGCAAAGAUAUACCCAGGCAAAGGCAUCAGAUUUGUUCGAUCAGACUCCCAGGUUUUCCUCUUUGCCAAUUCAAAAUGCAAGUCGUACUUUCACAACCGGCUGAAGCCUGCCAAGCUCAUCCGGACAGCAAUGUACAGGAAGCAGCAUAAGAAGGACAUUCAUGCUGAAGCUGUAAAGAAGAGACGUCGUACUACAAAGAAGCCUUAUUCAAGGUCAAUUAUUGGUGCUACUUUGGAAGUCAUUCGGAAAAAGCGAUCAGAGAAGCCUGAAGUUCGUGAUGCUGCUAGAGAAGCGGCUCUGAGAGGAAUCAACGGGUUAAGAAAACCAAGAAUGAAAAGAAAGCUAAGAAGGCUGAGCUAAUAGCUAGAUCUCAGAAGAGUACUCAGACAAAAGGCAGCAUGGCGAAGGCUCCAAAAGGCCUUUAGUUCGGUGGCGGUGGUUGGAAGCGAUGAAUCAUAACGUUCUGUUCGUGUAUCCGAUUCUGCUUCAUACCUUUGUGGAGUCUUUAACUGUCUAAAUUGUGUAACCUUCCCUACUUCUAAACAAUUUUCAUGAUGGUAGCGGCAUCUGGGAACUAACUGUUCUUGAAGGGAAAUUUUGGUAGUCUAAUACCAGUUUGCUUUGGUUGCUUUGCUCUCA
Musa acuminata AAA Group (dessert banana) is the source of this 806-nucleotide RNA transcript. It is a transcript of the gene named ribosomal protein eL24 pseudogene, with no coding region annotated. The record is from RefSeq and is marked validated. Lineage: Eukaryota; Viridiplantae; Streptophyta; Magnoliopsida; Zingiberales; Musaceae.